Molecule: ribosomal RNA, 464 nt
Filed under: uncultured bacterium
Lineage: Bacteria
Description: partial 16S ribosomal RNA
Rfam family: Bacterial small subunit ribosomal RNA
Source: RNAcentral
CUACGGGUUGCUGCAGUGAGGAAUUUUGCGCAAUGGGGGAAACCCUGACGCAGCAACACUGCGUGAGUGAUGAAGGUCUUAGGACCGUAAAGCUCUGUCAAGUGGGAAGAACCUGUGAGGGAAUAAUACUUCCUCGCACUGACGGUACCACUGAAGGAAGCACCGGCUAACUCCGUGCCAGCAGCCGCGGUAAUACGGGGGGUGCAAGCGUUAUUCGGAAUUAUUGGGCGUAAAGAGCGCGUAGGCGGUCUUUUAAGUCAGAUGUGAAAGCCCGGGGCUCAACUCCGGAAGUGCAUUUGAACUAAAAGACUUGAGUAUGGGAGAGGGAAGUGGAAUUCCUGGUGUAGAGGUGAAAUUCGUAGAUAUCAGGAGGAACACCGGUGGCGAAGGCGACUUCCUGGACCAAUACUGACGCUGAGGCGCGAAGGCGUGGGUAGCAAACAGGAUUAGAUACCCCUGUAGUC